UUUUGUAUAAUGGGUCAGCGACUUAUAUUCUGUAGCAAGGUUAACCGAAUAGGGGAGCCGAAGGGAAACCGAGUCUUAACUGGGCGUUAAGUUGCAGGGUAUAGACCCGAAACCCGGUGAUCUAGCCAUGGGCAGGUUGAAGGUUGGGUAACACUAACUGGAGGACCGAACCGACUAAUGUUGAAAAAUUAGCGGAUGACUUGUGGCUGGGGGUGAAAGGCCAAUCAAACCGGGAGAUAGCUGGUUCUCCCCGAAAGCUAUUUAGGUAGCGCCUCGUGAAUUCAUCUCCGGGGGUAGAGCACUGUUUCGGCAAGGGGGUCAUCCCGACUUACCAACCCGAUGCAAACUGCGAAUACCGGAGAAUGUUAUCACGGGAGACACACGGCGGGUGCUAACGUCCGUCGUGAAGAGGGAAACAACCCAGACCGCCAGCUAAGGUCCCAAAGUCAUGGUUAAGUGGGAAACGAUGUGGGAAGGCCCAGACAGCCAGGAUGUUGGCUUAGAAGCAGCCAUCAUUUAAAGAAAGCGUAAUAGCUCACUGGUCGAGUCGGCCUGCGCGGAAGAUGUAACGGGGCUAAACCAUGCACCGAAGCUGCGGCAGCGACACUAUGUGUUGUUGGGUAGGGGAGCGUUCUGUAAGCCUGUGAAGGUGUACUGUGAGGUAUGCUGGAGGUAUCAGAAGUGCGAAUGCUGACAUAAGUAACGAUAAAGCGGGUGAAAAGCCCGCUCGCCGGAAGACCAAGGGUUCCUGUCCAACGUUAAUCGGGGCAGGGUGAGUCGACCCCUAAGGCGAGGCCGAAAGGCGUAGUCGAUGGGAAACAGGUUAAUAUUCCUGUACUUGGUGUUACUGCGAAGGGGGGACGGAGAAGGCUAUGUUGGCCGGGCGACGGUUGUCCCGGUUUAAGCGUGUAGGCUGGUUUUCCAGGCAAAUCCGGAAAAUCAAGGCUGAGGCGUGAUGACGAGGCACUACGGUGCUGAAGCAACAAAUGCCCUGCUUCCAGGAAAAGCCUCUAAGCAUCAGGUAACAUCAAAUCGUACCCCAAACCGACACAGGUGGUCAGGUAGAGAAUACCAAGGCGCUUGAGAGAACUCGGGUGAAGGAACUAGGCAAAAUGGUGCCGUAACUUCGGGAGAAGGCACGCUGAUAUGUAGGUGAAGCGACUUGCUCGUGGAGCUGAAAUCAGUCGAAGAUACCAGCUGGCUGCAACUGUUUAUUAAAAACACAGCACUGUGCAAACACGAAAGUGGACGUAUACGGUGUGACGCCUGCCCGGUGCCGGAAGGUUAAUUGAUGGGGUUAGCGGUAACGCGAAGCUCUUGAUCGAAGCCCCGGUAAACGGCGGCCGUAACUAUAACGGUCCUAAGGUAGCGAAAUUCCUUGUCGGGUAAGUUCCGACCUGCACGAAUGGCGUAAUGAUGGCCAGGCUGUCUCCACCCGAGACUCAGUGAAAUUGAACUCGCUGUGAAGAUGCAGUGUACCCGCGGCAAGACGGAAAGACCCCGUGAACCUUUACUAUAGCUUGACACUGAACAUUGAGCCUUGAUGUGUAGGAUAGGUGGGAGGCUUUGAAGUGUGGACGCCAGUCUGCAUGGAGCCGGCCUUGAAAUACCACCCUUUAAUGUUUGAUGUUCUAACGUUGGCCCCUGAUCGGGGUUGCGGACAGUGUCUGGUGGGUAGUUUGACUGGGGCGGUCUCCUCCUAAAGAGUAACGGAGGAGCACGAAGGUUGGCUAAUCCUGGUCGGACAUCAGGAGGUUAGUGCAAUGGCAUAAGCCAGCUUGACUGCGAGCGUGACGGCGCGAGCAGGUGCGAAAGCAGGUCAUAGUGAUCCGGUGGUUCUGAAUGGAAGGGCCAUCGCUCAACGGAUAAAAGGUACUCCGGGGAUAACAGGCUGAUACCGCCCAAGAGUUCAUAUCGACGGCGGUGUUUGGCACCUCGAUGUCGGCUCAUCACAUCCUGGGGCUGAAGUAGGUCCCAAGGGUAUGGCUGUUCGCCAUUUAAAGUGGUACGCGAGCUGGGUUUAGAACGUCGUGAGACAGUUCGGUCCCUAUCUGCCGUGGGCGCUGGAGAACUGAGGGGGGCUGCUCCUAGUACGAGAGGACCGGAGUGGACGCAUCACUGGUGUUCGGGUUGUCAUGCCAAUGGCACUGCCCGGUAGCUAAAUGCGGAAGAGAUAAGUG
Molecule: ribosomal RNA, 2180 nt
Filed under: Escherichia coli
Lineage: Bacteria; Pseudomonadati; Pseudomonadota; Gammaproteobacteria; Enterobacterales; Enterobacteriaceae
Description: partial 23S ribosomal RNA
Rfam family: Bacterial large subunit ribosomal RNA
Source: RNAcentral